Uloborus diversus is the source of this 1493-nucleotide RNA transcript. It is a transcript of the gene named dynein light chain Tctex-type protein 2B-like, with no coding region annotated. The record is from RefSeq and is a predicted model, not a curated record. NCBI's taxonomy places the organism in Eukaryota, Metazoa, Arthropoda, Arachnida, Araneae, Uloboridae. The transcript has 5 exons.
UGGCAAAAGUUGCCGAUAUGGCUAUAUUUUGUCCUGUUGUGCGACCUAAAACAUCAAUUAAUAGUCUAGCUAUUUUUUUUUUUUGAACGACAUGAAAAUUUUGAGACGCCUGAAAACAUGGGCUUCUUUUUAUGAAUUUCGGAAAAAAAACUCUUGUUUUAUGACGAAAUAAGCUUCCAAAUGGAAGUGAAGUUUAAAAAAAAGUUUGCUUGGCUACUUUUCUACUCAUUUUUAGUUAAACUGUGCGUUGUCGCGCUCCUAAAAAUAAAGCAACCCUAAGUCAGCUCGAUUUGUUGAUAAUUUGUUUUGUUGUUGUAUGCGUUGAAUUUGCUAAUGUUUUAUUUUUUGUGAAGCCAGUGUUUUCAUAGUGAAAUUGAAAUAAUAAUAGAAACAUCUCUAAAUGCCUGUGAUUUGAUUUAAUUUUGUUUCGUAAUGAAUUCAGAUCUUAGCACUGAAGAGGAAGAUGUUAGCAUCGAAGAUAAAUUGAGUGAAGAAAGUGCCGAAAGUGGAUCUUAUGUUAUUCGGCCACCAUUUCGUAAACGGUAGGAAUUGACUUUGAAAAUACAAUUGAUGAUGCACUUCUAGUUGACAAAAAAGUUUAGCAACACCUUUUAAUUUUGCACUACCAAAAUUUAAUGCGUCUGCUGUGAAAGAAAUCAUUAAGCUAUUGCUUGUGGAUGAAUUGGGUCAGAAAAAGUAUUCCUCAUUAGAUGCCAUGGAGACAGCCAAGAAUUUGUCUAAAAUGAUAGUGGAUAAGUUGAAAGAAAUGCCGUAUGAAGGAUAUAAGUAUAGCGUUCAAGUGGUUUUUGCGGAACAAAAGGGACAAGGUUUAAAAAUGUCCUCUUUAUGUAUGUGGGACGCUGAUACUGACAAUUGUGCUUCUGUGUUCUAUAUGACUGAGCAUCUAAUAUGUGCAACAACAAUUUUUGCUGUGUACUUCUAUUGAGAAAAAUAUCUUGUACACCGAAAUAAAGAAUGCUGCUACUACAAGAAGAAACCCCAAGUAUCGUUGGAAGUUUGCAAAAGAUUAGUGUGCGGCUCAUUGCCAAGAUAUUUAAUUGCUGUUUCGAAAUGUAAACUACUUUGUUUAAUCCUAUAUAUUCUUCCCUAAACUAGUAAGGCAGUGUCUUACACCCCGAGUUGAACUUCUGCAUUGAAACGUUUUGUAACAUUUACAUAUCGUCGCCUCAGAGCAACAUUAAGACAUCUAAUCCCAGGAAUAACACUAAGCUAUCUUACAUUUGCUCUGAGGCGACGAUAUAUAGCUUUAUAUUUAUGUCACAAAAGGUACUGUUUCUGUUAUAUUUAUAUGAAUAAAUAAAACUAAAAUCUUUGGAAUUUUUUCUACUCUAAUUUGAUAAAUGCUUGUAUUAUUACGUGUUUGUACUCCAAAUUAAACUGAUUUAAUAAUACUGCGGACAGUGCCUUUGGCGCUUUUUAGUGUUGAAUUCUUACUACUAAGUCAUGUUGAACUAUAAUCGAGAAUUUCUUAA